CAUCACUAUUUCUGUGGACGCGAUUUGCGGGGACUCUUCGAUGGAUAAGCGUCUGAAUGCGGCUGCAAUAUGGCUGCUAAUAUUGCUAUAUGUAGCUACCGUUGCUCAAGGCGAAAGAACGCGAGAUAAGAUGUACGAACCCAUAGGAGGAGCAAGCUGCUUUCGCCGAUUGAAUGGCACCCAUCAAACUGGGUGUUCCUCCACCUACUCUGGCUCCGUGGGCGUACUCCAUCUGGUAAACGUCGAGGCCGAUCUGGAAUUUCUACUGGCCAGUCCACCGUCGCCCCCAUACGCUCCUUUGAUACCACCUCACCUGUUUACACGCAGCAACCUUAUGCGAUUAAAAGAAGCCGGACCAAAGAACAUCUCCGUAGUGCUGCUGAUUAACCGCACAGAACAGAUGAAACAAUUCUCUCACGAGCUCAACUGUCCCAAUCAGUAUAGUGGCCUAAAUAGCAGCAGCGAGACCUGCGAUGCCAGCAAUCCGGCCAAAAACUGGAACCCUUGGGGUACCGGUCUGCUGCACGAGGACUUUCCCUUUCCCAUCUACUACGUUGCCGAUAUCGAUCAAGUCAAAAAGCUGGAGCAGUGUUUUCAGGACUUUAACAACUUUAACUACGAGACCCACGCCCUUCGCAGUUUGUGUGCUGUCGAGGUCAAGUCCUUUAUGUCAGCUGCGGUCAACACGGAGGUCUGCAUGCGGCGAACGAACUUUAUCAACAAUCUAGGUGGCAGCAAAUACUGCGAUCCUCUAGAGGGACGUAAUGUGUACGCCACUUUGUAUCCCCGAGAACCAGCUAUCGUAAACAAAACUGUAACAAUCCAUACGGAUGAAAAGUUCAUUUUGGUGUCGUGUCGUUUGGACACCGCCACCAUGUUUGAUGGUGUUGGUCUUGGAGCCAUGGACUCUCUUAUGGGGUUUGCUGUUUUUACCCAGGUGGCGUAUCUUUUACGACAGCUAUUGCCGCCUCAAAGUUCGCUUCCCGAUCCCCUUCGUAAUGUCCUUUUUGUGACUUUUAAUGGUGAAUCCUACGAUUACAUUGGAUCCCAGAGAUUUGUUUAUGAUAUGGAGAAAUUAGAGUUCCCUCCUGAGUCUACUGACAGACCUCCAAUUACCUUUGACAAUAUUGAGUUUAUGUUCGAUAUAGGCACUCUGGAUGACAUUGCAAACAUUAAGCUGCAUGCUUUAACUGGAACACCUCUGGCUCAGAAAAUUCUAGAGCAGAUGAACAACUAUGCCAAAUCGUCACGCUACGGUUUUAACUUAAAUAUUCAAUCUGAGAUGAGUGCCCACAUACCGCCGACAUCUGCGCAAUCCUUUUUGCGGCGUGAUCCAAAGUUUCCGGCUUUAAUAUUGAACGCCCGACCAACCAACAAAUAUUACCACUCAAUUUACGAUGAUGGCAUUAAUGUGGACUUUACAUAUGCAAACACAAGCAAAGACUUUACCCAGCUGGCGGAAGUGAAUGAUUUAAAGAGCUUGAAGGCUGACUCACUGCAAAUGAAAGUGCGCAACGUUUCCUCUAUUUUGGCAAUGACACUUUAUCAGACGCUGACUGGAAAAGAGUACACCGGCACUAAGGUGGCCAACCCUCUUUUGGCGGAUGAGUUCUUUUACUGCUUCCUGCAAUCAGCAAACUGUCCACUUUUCAAAGCAGCAUCUUAUCCAGGCAGUCAGUUAACCAAUUUGCCUCCAAUGCGCUAUAUAAGCGUCUUGGGCGGAUCUCAAGAGUCGUCCGGCUAUACAUAUAGAAUGUUAGGCUAUCUUAUGUCGCAACCACAGCCAGACAUUCCACAAGAAAAUUGCACCGACUUGCCAUUGCACUAUUUCGCUGGCUUCAACAAUAUCGGAGAGUGUCGCCUCACCACACAAAACUACAGCCACGCCUUAAGUCCAGCUUUUCUUAUUGAUGGCUACGAUUGGAGUUCCGGCCAGUUCUCCACAUGGACUGAAUCCACCUGGUCACAGUUUAGUGCACGCAUUUUCCUGCGUCCGUCCAAUGUACACCAGAUCACAACCCUCAGCGUGGGAAUAGUGGUGCUGAUCAUCUCCUUUUGCCUAGUGUACAUAAUAAGCUCUCGAUCGGAAGUCCUUUUCGAGGACUUGCCGGCUAGCAAUGCCGCAUUAUUUGGUUGAUGUCACAACUGCCACAGCGACGACAUCAUCGCGUUCAGCUGCUCAUUCCACAGACUUCUGCAUGCAUAAAUGUUCAUAGUUUUCAAAGUUGCCGCGACCGACGGCCUGUUAAUCAGUGGAAAUCUUCAAGAAAAUCUCAGCCUAUUCCGAAGCUGAUUGGCAGCUGAACAAGAUCUGAAAACAAAAGACAGACUUAACAAAGACACUAAAAUGAUAUUCUAACUCGUCUUAUUUAAACCAUUAAGCAAACGUUUAUUUAUGUGUAUUUUUGUAUUUUAAACAAGUAAAUUAGCCUCUAGCUACUAUGUUGUAUCAUAUAUAGACAUUUAACCAAUUGCGACAAAACCUAUACUUGUAUGUAUUAAAUUUUUUCCACUUGUCCGGCCCGUUUUGAAUUGUACAUAGAGAUAAAGAAAAGAAAUUCAACCUCUGAGAAUGCCAAGGAAGAUAUGUCUGUACAAAUAUUGACAAGAAACUGCUAUAAAUCAUUAAACAUUGGAAAUAUUUAUACCUUCUGCAUAUAUUGCGAUACUGAACUUAAUGAUCUGAAAUCAUCACUUCAUAGAAGACAAAUAAUUAUUAUAACGACUCUAAAUUAUAUAUGUUUAAUAAAUUUUGAUAAGGUGUAAA
This is an RNA transcript of Drosophila eugracilis, 2767 nucleotides long. It is a transcript of the gene named nicastrin, with no coding region annotated. Lineage: Eukaryota; Metazoa; Arthropoda; Insecta; Diptera; Drosophilidae. The transcript is spliced from 8 exons. The record is from RefSeq and is a predicted model, not a curated record.